UGCUCAGAUGGUCACCAUUAU
Molecule: non-coding RNA, 21 nt
Filed under: Caenorhabditis elegans
Lineage: Eukaryota; Metazoa; Nematoda; Chromadorea; Rhabditida; Rhabditidae
Source: RNAcentral